Small nucleolar RNA from Mesocricetus auratus (golden hamster), 202 nucleotides. Its record names the gene SNORA73. It matches the Rfam family "Small nucleolar RNA SNORA73 family". From Rfam's summary of the family: U17 (SNORA73A and SNORA73B) also known as E1 belongs to the H/ACA class of small nucleolar RNAs (snoRNAs). Vertebrate U17 is intron-encoded and ranges in length from 200-230 nucleotides, longer than most snoRNAs. The record is from Ensembl. Lineage: Eukaryota; Metazoa; Chordata; Mammalia; Rodentia; Cricetidae.
CCAAUGUGGAUAACCUGGGAGGUCACUGUCACCAGGGUCUGUCCUAGUGGCAUAGGGGAGCAUAGUGCCCUGCCCCAUGAUGUAAAGUCCUUUCCAUGAUGUUGGAGUUGAAGCUGAGCUUUGAGUCUGUGCCUGCAUAUUCUAUGACUUCAUAGAGACUUGUGGAUGAUAACUGAGGAGACAACCAAUACAGGAAACAAAA